AGAGUUUGAUCAUGGCUCAGGACGAACGCUGGCGGCGUGCUUAACACAUGCAAGUCGAGCGGUAAGGCCCCUUCGGGGGUACACGAGCGGCGAACGGGUGAGUAACACGUGAGCAACCUACCCUCAACUUUGGGAUAAGCCUCGGAAACGGGGUCUAAUACCGGAUAUGACUGCGGACUUCAUGGUUUGUGGUUGAAAGUUCUGGCGGUUGGGGAUGGGCUCGCGGCCUAUCAGCUUGUUGGUGGGGUAAUGGCCUACCAAGGCUUCGACGGGUAGCCGGCCUGAGAGGGCGACCGGCCACACUGGGACUGAGACACGGCCCAGACUCCUACGGGAGGCAGCAGUGGGGAAUAUUGCGCAAUGGACGAAAGUCUGACGCAGCAACGCCGCGUGAGGGAUGACGGCCUUCGGGUUGUAAACCUCUUUCAGCUCCGACGAAGCGCAAGUGACGGUAGGAGUAGAAGAAGGACCGGCCAACUACGUGCCAGCCGCCGCGGUAAUUC
Molecule: ribosomal RNA, 503 nt
Filed under: uncultured bacterium
Lineage: Bacteria
Description: bacterial SSU rRNA
Rfam family: Bacterial small subunit ribosomal RNA
Source: RNAcentral